ACUACGGGGUGCAGCAGUGGGGAAUAUUGCACAAUGGGGGAAACCCUGAUGCAGCGACGCCGCGUGAGUGAAGAAGUAUUUCGGUAUGUAAAGCUCUAUCAGCAGGGAAGAAGAAAGACGGUACCUGACUAAGAAGCCCCGGCUAACUACGUGCCAGCAGCCGCGGUAAUACGUAGGGGGCAAGCGUUAUCCGGAUUUACUGGGUGUAAAGGGAGCGUAGACGGCUGUGCAAGUCUGAAGGGAAAGCCCAGGGCUCAACCCUGGGACUGCUUUGGAAACUGUGGAGCUAGAGUGCUGGAGAGGUAAGUGGAAUUCCUAGUGUAGCGGUGAAAUGCGUAGAUAUUAGGAGGAACACCAGUGGCGAAGGCGGCUUACUGGACAGUAACUGACGUUGAGGCUCGAAAGCGUGGGGAGCAAACAGGAUUAGAUACCCUAGUAGUC
This 441-nucleotide ribosomal RNA is filed under the name uncultured bacterium. RNAcentral describes it as "partial 16S ribosomal RNA". It matches the Rfam family "Bacterial small subunit ribosomal RNA", at positions 338 to 795 of the family's 1533-position model. The record is from RNAcentral.